AUUGAACGCUGGCGGAAUGCUUUACACAUGCAAGUCGAACGGCAGCACGAGGGCAACCUUGGUGGCGAGUGGCGAACGGGUGAGUAAUACAUCGGAACGUGCCCAGUCGUGGGGGAUAACGUAGCGAAAGCUACGCUAAUACCGCAUACGAUCUAUGGAUGAAAGCGGGGGACCGUAAGGCCUCGCGCGAUUGGAGCGGCCGAUGGCAGAUUAGGUAGUUGGUGGGGUAAAGGCUCACCAAGCCUGCGAUCUGUAGCUGGUCUGAGAGGACGACCAGCCACACUGGAACUGAGACACGGUCCAGACUCCUACGGGAGGCAGCAGUGGGGAAUUUUGGACAAUGGGCGCAAGCCUGAUCCAGCCAUUCCGCGUGCAGGAUGAAGGCCUCGGUUGU
Molecule: ribosomal RNA, 394 nt
Filed under: uncultured bacterium
Lineage: Bacteria
Description: bacterial SSU rRNA
Rfam family: Bacterial small subunit ribosomal RNA
Source: RNAcentral